RNAcentral lists this ribosomal RNA (165 nucleotides) under uncultured bacterium. RNAcentral describes it as "partial 16S ribosomal RNA". It matches the Rfam family "Bacterial small subunit ribosomal RNA", at positions 1334 to 1500 of the family's 1533-position model. The record is from RNAcentral.
GCUAGUAAUGGCAGGUCAGCAUACUGCCGUGAAUACGUUCCCGGGCCUUGUACACACCGCCCGUCACACCAUGAGAGUUGGAAAUACCCGAAGCCUGUGAGCUAACAAACGAGGCAGCAGUCGAAGGUAGAGCCAAUGAUUGGGGUGAAGUCGUAACAAGGUACC